GGAGGGUGCAAGCGUUGUCCGGAUUUAUUGGGUUUAAAGGGUGCGUAGGCGGCUAUUUAAGUCAGUGGUGAAAUCCAACAGCUUAACUGUUGAACUGCCAUUGAUACUGGAUGGCUUGAGUACAGACGAGGUAGGCGGAAUUUAUGGUGUAGCGGUGAAAUGCAUAGAUACCAUAAAGAACACCGAUUGCGAAGGCAGCUUACUAGGCUGUAACUGACGCUGAGGCACGAAAGCGUGGGGAUCAAACAGGAUUAGAUACCCUGGUAGUCCACGCUGUAAACGAUGAUUACUCGAUGUGUGCGAUAGACAGUACGCGUCCAAGCGAAAGCGUUAAGUAAUCCACCUGGGGAGUACGAUCGCAAGAUUG
RNAcentral lists this ribosomal RNA (367 nucleotides) under uncultured bacterium. RNAcentral's name for it is "bacterial SSU rRNA". It matches the Rfam family "Bacterial small subunit ribosomal RNA", at positions 527 to 896 of the family's 1533-position model. The record is from RNAcentral.